Long non-coding RNA from Seriola aureovittata, 3890 nucleotides. RefSeq lists it as uncharacterized. The transcript is spliced from 2 exons. The record is from RefSeq and is a predicted model, not a curated record. NCBI's taxonomy places the organism in Eukaryota, Metazoa, Chordata, Actinopteri, Carangiformes, Carangidae.
UCUAUAGGGUGAAUCAACCCACGUGACGGUGAGACAUCGUAGCUGACGUCAUGCAGUAAAAAAAAGCUGUGGGCUUCAGUCGAGUGAUGAGCUACGGUUGUGCAGUGCAAUAACUUUAUUCUAAGUGAUCUGUGCGUGAAUGAAAGAAAAACCACACAACUCUAACUUCCAGCUGUUAUUGCAUGAACACUGGAAUACCUGUAUGUGUUGCUGCAAAGGGAGAAGUAAAGAAAGGAAGUAAACAGCAUAUCUACGUCUCUCAGCCCUUUAUUCAUCUGUACUCUGGAAACUUGGCCUUAAAUGGUGUUCUGGCCGACACCCCGGGGUGAACCUAGUGACAAACACUGAACUAGCGCCCAAUCUGAUCAUAUUAUCAUUAUCUCCACUACAGAGCUGCAGCACAACACCAGAGAGGUGUGGGAGGGGAUGAGGACCAUAACUGGUUAUAAAGAGAAGAACAGCCAGGCAACAUCAGGUGAUGUGGACAAGGCAAAUGAGUUCAACCUGUUCUACAACAGGUGUGACACAGCCUCACCUGUUCUCUCUCCCACUGCUUCAGCUGCAGCUUCUCCUACAGCAUCUCCUCCACAACCUGACACUGCAGCUGCAACUCCCUCCAGUCUGGGGUCAAGUCUCCUGUUCUUUACAGCGGAGGAGGUGAGGGCGGAGCUCAAGAGGUCACGUCCUGGAUUGUGGAUUACAUGACAAGACGACCACAGUACGUCAGGCUGGGUAACUGUGUCUCAGGGACAGUGAUGAGCAGCACUGGGGCUCCACAGGGGACUGUUCUGGCUCAGUUCCUGUUCACCCUGUAUACGGCCGACUUUGAAUACAACUCUCAGUCCUGCCACAUCCAGAAAUACUCGGAUCACACAGCUAUUGUGGUGCGUAUCAGGAACGGGCAAGAAGAGGAGUACAGAGAUCUGAUGAUGGCCUUCAGUUAAUGGAGCGACAAGACCUGCCUCCUUCUGAACACCUCCAACACCAGGGAGAUGGUCAUGGACUUUCAGAGGACUAGACCCACCCUUCAGCCAGUCAGUAUUUGAGGGAAGGACAAUAAGGUGGUGCACACUUAUAAAUACCUAGGUGUGCACCUGGACAGUAAACUGGACUGGUCCCUGAACACAGAUGCCAUCUACCUGAAGGGGCAGAGCCGGCUCUUUUUCCUCAGGAGGCUCAGGUCCUUUGACGUCUGUAGUGAAAUGCUGCACAUGUUUUAUCAGUCAGUGGUGGCCAGUUUACUCUUUUAUGCUGCAGUCUGCUGGGGCAGCAGCAUGUCAGACAUGAACACAAAGAGACUGGUAAAAAAGGCUGGGUCUGUGCUUGGCAGGAGUUUGGACUCACUCAGGACUGUUGUGGAGAGACUCAUGUAAUGUAAGAUGGAGGCCAUCUUGGACAAUACCAACCAUCCUCUCCACAACAUUCUUGCAGGACAGAGAAGCAGCUACAGCUGCAGCAAACGUCUCAUCUCACUGCGCUGCAGAACAGAGAGGUUCAGGAGAUCCUUUGUUCCCACUGCCAUCAGGCUAUACAACACCUCAACCAACGGGAGUGGACUAAUCUAAUUAUUAUUGUUCAUUUAUUAUUAACUGUUUUUAUUAUUAUUAUUAUUAUUAUCAACAAUGGACACAUGAAUUUCCCAUAGGGGAUAAAUAAAGUAUCUGUCACAACUGAACUAGGAAGUGAACCCAAAUGCACGACUCAGAGACAAAGUAUAAAUUAAUAAUAAAGUAGCAAAAGAAAGUCGCUCUAACAGAGGAAUAUAUAAGCAAAGUGCGCCAAUAAAAAUCGCUCUUUUGAGGAAAACCAAAAAACUCAAGACACAGGAAAAGACAAAGUAUCAAAAUACUCUGCAGCAAGACUAUGGUCAAAUGUAGUAUCGAAUUUAAAACCUGGCGUGGGAAACGUGGCUGGUGUGGUUCUCUGGUAACAUGACAAGACGAACUGACACAGGACAAAGGGAAACGCACGGUAAUGGGAAACAGGUGGAAACAAUCAGGGCGGGGCAGACAAUCAGACUAGUGGGAAACCCUUGUGUGGUGUUCAGGUCUGUGGGACCCAUUUUCAUUUUUUAUCAAAAGAAAAAUUAUAUGAUUAAGUAUUUUUUCAAACCCAGACUCAUUGGCCUUGGCUCAUUUUCUGUGAAGAAUAUUUAUCAGAACACAUUUUCAAUGACCACACAUUGUACACCCCCCUACACAUUUUAUAUUAACCAUACAAGUAUAUGCUGUUUACUGUAUAUUGCUUGUAAUUGGGAUGAAGUAAACAUCUGUUAAGUAUUUUAACAGAAAAUUGUUUGAUUGUGUUGAAUUAAACCCCAACAAAUGCAGCGGGUCCACCAGACCCGCCAACACUGGCUGAGUAACAAGAACAUGAACAUCACACAAGGGUUAAGUAGAAAUGGGUGAAUUAAAUGAGGGGGAAAUGAUACAACUGACCACAACGACUUAUUGUGAACUGUAUCUUGACAAGUCAUUCAGUGAGAAUGACAUUCAGUGAGAAUGAGUAAUCUAGCUUUUCCAGUGAGGGUGACUUCAGUAGGAGGGGAUUACACCUGCCAGCAACAAAACAGGAAGGAUGUGGAAAAGAUUUUCCUUGCAGAAACUGCCCCUUGUGUGGUCUACAGCCUACUUUCAUAUAAAUUUACUAAAUUUUCUACAUCUCAUUUUGCACUUGAAUUUGAAACUGAAUUAUUGAGAAAAACUCCCCUCGUGUUGCUCAACGUCACCCUUCUCGUUUUUUUGUGUUUUUAGAUUCGCCACAAGAAGCAAACUCCCUUCAUGUAAAAAAAAAAAAAGACCUGAUACUCUCACCAGAGCUGCAGAGGAAUAAACAAUCUUUUUUUAGAUUGGCCCACAGCUUCCUCAUUACUUGUUAAGAGCACAUACAGCCACCCGAGUACAGUAGUUCAGUAGUUCCUCUGAAAUCUGAAAACAAGGUGUGCAUGUGAUCUAUUUAAUUUUUCAGACCCUAACUUGUUUUAAUUUCCAUGGGAAGUUCACAGGAAUCUGGUGACCUGCACCAGACUUAGCCAGUCAAACCACAGUGGGUACGCCACUUGAGGUUUUAUUUCUCCUUCGCUGGGGGAGUUACUUAAAGCUGUUGCACAGAAUCUCUUAAAAGGUUUCCUUAGUUUAGGCAUUACGAGCAGUGAAUUUACAGACAGACAUGAAACACCUCGGCUAAACCUGGAAAACAUCAUGUGGCAUAAAACUGUAGUUUUCUUCCUUAGUUUGGCUGCUAAGGUCUUUUGUGCAACGGUUCAACUGAUUUUAAGUGAUUUCUUAAGUGUAAGACUAAGAGAAGGAGAAAACCUGAAAUCUGUGUUCUCCCUGCUCCCUCCUCCGAGCCCUGUCUCAUCAGCAUGGCUGCCAAAAUCAAGUUGCUAGCAAUAUUAGCCAAAUUUAUUACCCCCUGAUCUUGCACCUAGCUAUAACGCCCCUGCUUAGCAUUUCACCUGCUGGGUCUUUACUGGAUCACCGAAUAUAUAUGUUCUUAUCAAUCUAUUUAUCUACGAGACACACCGAGCAGAGGGAGAGAGGGAAGUCAUCGGUAACGAGGCUUCGUACUAACGACUGGGACCAACUCUACAUAUCAAACAGAGGGAGUCAGACAUAAAGACCUGCCUCUAAUAAAAGUCUCUGUGUGAGAGACUGAAGAAAGAUUGUCUGUCUCGGGCCCCGGUGGUUCACCUGGUGGAGCGUCUGCCAUUUCUUAGUCCAUGUUCCAGCUGCCUCUCUCUCUCUCUCUCUCUCUCUUUCUCUCUCUCUCUGUCACUAUGACUGUAAUAAAGGCAAAAGACUGAAAAUUAACACAAAAAAAAAGAUAUUGUGUCUCUUCUAACUUUCUCUGUGAGUGAUCAUGUUACAGUAAAUCCAGCUGAAAUCACA